This 253-nucleotide ribosomal RNA is filed under the name uncultured bacterium. RNAcentral's name for it is "partial 16S ribosomal RNA". It matches the Rfam family "Bacterial small subunit ribosomal RNA", at positions 524 to 776 of the family's 1533-position model. The record is from RNAcentral.
UACGUAGGGGGCAAGCGUUAUCCGGAUUUACUGGGUGUAAAGGGAGCGUAGACGGCCAGACAAGUCUGAAGUGAAAAUCCAGCGCUUAACGUUGGAAGUGCUUUGGAGACUGCCGGGCUAGAGUGCAGGAGGGGCAGGCGGAAUUCCUAGUGUAGCGGUGAAAUGCGUAGAUAUUAGGAGGAACACCGGUGGCGAAGGCGGCCUGCUGGACUGCAACUGACGUUGAGGCUCGAAGGCGUGGGGAGCAAACAGG